GAAUGUUGGGAACCGAUCUGAUUCCAAGGAUUGAGAAGUUUUGCAGUGGUCAACUGGUAUAGACAUCCCAUUACCACUACUUCCUUCAUUGGACUGCAAGGUAUUUCUGUUUGGAAAAGUAAUGGAGUCCAGUCAACUUCAUUGAUCGCCAAGGACUGUCAAAAUUAUAAAACUUGCUGUGGAGCUCUGACAUGCCAGAAGCCGCUAGAAAAAGAAGUUUGACAUUCAGAAACUUAUCAAGAGGUUCUACUCUUUGGAUAGAGACCAAAAUCAUACUUUGAAUGAUAUGCAAUGCAAGACUCCCAAGAUUCUGGGCAGUGGCAGGGAGGUGCAGCUUCUAGUCUGCCGCAUGAUCACAAUGUCAGCUGGUCCCUCUUCUCAGGUGUAGAUCACCUAUUAUAAUUUUACCUAAUUUUGAUACUCUGAUAAGGAAAGUCCCAGGACUUAUCAGCUGGGAUAGGCCUCACUUACAAGACAGCUCUGUUCAGUAUUUGGAAGAAAGCCUGACAGGUUUCUUCGGAAAAGUGGCCAUCCAUGGAAUGAAUGAAAUGUUCUCUUUCUAUUCCAGGGAUUGCAGUGGCAAAGCUAGGCUAGGUCUUGGAGGCUGGUGUAAGGCGAUGUGGGUGAAGGCAGGAGGCUGAUGGAAAGACUGGGGGGAAGAAAAGCCGAAAUGGAUUCACGGUGCCUUGGAUGAAGGACGAGAGGGGAACUGCAAGCUCCUUCAACUGGUUCUGUCCGGUGAGAAGUGAUCAAGCUUGGGCUGACAAGAGGCUCAGGGAGCCCUCACGUUCUUUCGCUUUUUUACCUGCCAAUCAAACUGCUACAAGACAACACCCUGAUCUGGCAUGGACAUUCAUUGCAGUCACCUGGAGUCACGGAAAUGACCAUGAUUGCCUGAACUUUCAUGACUUCUGUGGAUAACUGUGGUUGCAGAAAAGAGAAAACCUGGACCGUGAGGGACAUUUCACUCCCUGGGCUUUGCCUUGGUUGUUUACUUGUAUCUAAGACAGAGGUGUCCAAUAUUUUGGCUUCCCUGGGCCACAAUGGAAGAAGAAUAGUCUUGGGCCACACAUAAAAUACACUAAUGCUAACAAUAGCUGAUGAGCUAAAAAAUAAAAAUAAAAAUACGCCGGGCACGGUGGCCCACACCUGGAAUCCCAGCACUUUGGGACGACGAGGCAGGCGGAUCACAA
RNAcentral lists this long non-coding RNA (1193 nucleotides) under Homo sapiens (human). RNAcentral describes it as "PREDICTED lncRNA (TCONS_00189039)". The stretch from base 578 to 853 matches the Rfam family "SOX2 overlapping transcript exon 3". Lineage: Eukaryota; Metazoa; Chordata; Mammalia; Primates; Hominidae. The record is from RNAcentral.